Molecule: long non-coding RNA, 1665 nt
Organism: Asterias rubens (European starfish)
Lineage: Eukaryota; Metazoa; Echinodermata; Asteroidea; Forcipulatida; Asteriidae
Exons: 3
Source: RefSeq, a predicted model, not a curated record
ACGGAUCACUGGAUAUUCUCUAUUAAGCAUAUGUUAAGAUGUUAACUGAAGUGGAUAGAGAAUAACAUGUACAUACAUGACUAGUGUACACGAGCACAUGACAGGAUAACCAUGUACAUGUACUUAAGGAUAGAAAGAAAAAGAACUUAAUUUACAUCCCACGUUGAAAAUGAAAUUGCCGUUGAGUUUUGGGUUUUUAUCACGCUCAAAGAUGUUGUAGCCCCGCUCAUUCAGAAUGCAGUAUAAAAACCACUGAGCAUAAUAAUAGCUACGUGAAAAUGGGCUUGAUGUUUGUUCGUGCUUUUCAACCCUGAAGAACCUUCGUGAUGUAUUCAUGUGUAAUUUGAAGUCAUCGGCUUUACUGCUCCCUCUCUCUAUAAACUAUAAAUCGGCUUGUGUAAAGAAUGGCUAGACAUCACUCCCGCUUCAGCGGCCGUCACCGACGCCGAUGCCACGGUCGAAACCUCGGUCGCUCCGGUACAAGAUCUCCAUUGAAGGGCGGCAUGAUCCUCGUCAUAUUUCUCUGCGUGUUCGGAUCCAUAUUGUUACUGGUCGGGGUGACCAUUUUCAGUCUUAACUACGACAUCGUGGAGAGCAUCGAUGUUGAAAUAGCGGGAACUAUUGCUUUGGUUCUCGGUGUCGUUUUGAUGUCGCUUUGCCUGAUACUGUACUUCAUUGGUCGCCGAAGACGACACCAGCAUCAUCAGAGCAAUGACGUCAUUGAGAGUGAAGUGAUAGAUGAAGAGAUACCACUGGCGUAGAGGCACUGUGCUGGAUAAUAGGGAUGAGCGAGGUACAUUGGCCUAUAAUACAGCCUUGCAGCCAUACGAUGGUCAACUCGUCCACCAGAGAGAUUGUCAACUCGUCCAACGCUCUACGAUAAUACACGAAUUACCAUUAUUUUGCGCAUCCCUUCCACGUCCUACAAUAGACUAUGUACACAAAAUUCGCUGUGGAACAUCCCUUUCCUCAGAGUGGAACAGUCCACCCCAUUAUUUUAAUGACCAACCCAGAUUCCUGGUCAGUAUUCCCAAACGAUAUUUUUAUUUAAUAAUAGGCAUGUUGUGCUCUCAACAAGCUGAUUAUUUUUGUGAUUCAGAAGAAAAACAAAAAACACUCGAGGCGUAAUUUUCAUAAAGAAGAAUCACAUUCAAGAUAAAAUCCUCAAUUCUUUUGAAAAAGUAAAGAAACCACAACAAAAGGAACCACAUUCUGAGCCAUUGCGGUUGAGGAUCGAAUCUGAAAAGUUGUACCCCCCCCCUCAAAGAAAGGAAGAAACAAAGAUAUUAGUCAUCGAUUCCAUCACAAUUAUUUGAAAUAUUUAUGACUUUAAUUACACCUUCAUAACAAUUUUUCAUACAAUAGCAAUGUUACAUUAAUCGUGUUGAUGAAGCAUGGCAUUGUGAUAAAAACGGAAAUGUGCUGUACAUACUUACACUUAUUAAAGAAACUUGUGAUUCGAAUGACCACUUAAAUUUACUCUAAAUAACAAGAAAUGUUUUCAAAAGAAGAUAUUAAGGGACAUGUGUUUUAAAAAAUUAGAAGAGUUACGAGAAAUAUUAUUGAGCACCCAAUGGAGGAACAAGAACACCUAUAUUUUUGUUUGUUUGUUUGUUUGUUUGUUUGUUUGUUUGUUUGUUUGUUUGUUUGUUUGUUUGUUUGUUA